Molecule: transfer RNA, 70 nt
Filed under: Osteocephalus aff. leoniae DO-2022
Lineage: Eukaryota; Metazoa; Chordata; Amphibia; Anura; Hylidae
Description: tRNA-Trp
Rfam family: tRNA
About the family: Transfer RNA (tRNA) molecules are approximately 80 nucleotides in length. Their secondary structure includes four short double-helical elements and three loops (D, anti-codon, and T loops). Further hydrogen bonds mediate the characteristic L-shaped molecular structure. tRNAs have two regions of fundamental functional importance: the anti-codon, which is responsible for specific mRNA codon recognition, and the 3' end, to which the tRNAs corresponding amino acid is attached (by aminoacyl-tRNA synthetases). tRNAs cope with the degeneracy of the genetic code in two manners: having more than one tRNA (with a specific anti-codon) for a particular amino acid; and 'wobble' base-pairing, i.e. permitting non-standard base-pairing at the 3rd anti-codon position.
Source: RNAcentral
AGAAACUUAGGAUAAAUAAGACCAAGUGCCUUCAAAGCUCUAAGUAGAAGUUAAAAUCUUCUAGUUUCUG